GUAGGCAUAAUUUAAAAAAAAUAUUAGAUUGUGAUUCUAAAGACAGAGGUUAAACUCCUCUUGCUCACC
This 69-nucleotide transfer RNA is filed under the name Gymnotus pantanal. RNAcentral's name for it is "tRNA-His". It matches the Rfam family "tRNA". From Rfam's summary of the family: Transfer RNA (tRNA) molecules are approximately 80 nucleotides in length. Their secondary structure includes four short double-helical elements and three loops (D, anti-codon, and T loops). The record is from RNAcentral. Lineage: Eukaryota; Metazoa; Chordata; Actinopteri; Gymnotiformes; Gymnotidae.